Molecule: ribosomal RNA, 253 nt
Filed under: uncultured bacterium
Lineage: Bacteria
Description: partial 16S ribosomal RNA
Rfam family: Bacterial small subunit ribosomal RNA
Source: RNAcentral
CACGUAGGGUGCGAGCGUUGUCCGGAAUUACUGGGCGUAAAGCGCACGUAGGCGGCUUUGUAAGUUAGAGGUGAAAGCCCGGGGCUCAACUCCGGAAUUGCCUUUAAGACUGCAUCGCUAGAAUUGUGGAGAGGUAAGUGGAAUUCCGAGUGUAGAGGUGAAAUUCGUAGAUAUUCGGAAGAACACCAGUGGCGAAGGCGACUUACUGGACACAUAUUGACGCUGAGGUGCGAAAGCGUGGGGAGCAAACAGG